Molecule: transfer RNA, 85 nt
Filed under: Metallosphaera tengchongensis
Lineage: Archaea; Thermoproteati; Thermoproteota; Thermoprotei; Sulfolobales; Sulfolobaceae
Description: tRNA-Ser
Rfam family: tRNA
About the family: Transfer RNA (tRNA) molecules are approximately 80 nucleotides in length. Their secondary structure includes four short double-helical elements and three loops (D, anti-codon, and T loops).
Source: RNAcentral
GCCGGGGUGCCCGAGCGGACCAAGGGGCUGGCCUUGAGAGCCAGUAGGGCUUCACCCUGCGCGGGUUCAAAUCCCGCCCCCGGCG